UGGGGAAUAUUGCACAAUGGGGGAAACCCUGAUGCAGCAACGCCGCGUGAGCGAUGAAGGCCUUCGGGUGUAAAGCUCUGUCCUCAAGGAAGAUAAUGACGGUACUUGAGGAGGAAGCCCCGGCUAACUACGUG
RNAcentral lists this ribosomal RNA (134 nucleotides) under uncultured Peptostreptococcaceae bacterium. RNAcentral's name for it is "partial 16S ribosomal RNA". It matches the Rfam family "Bacterial small subunit ribosomal RNA", at positions 355 to 507 of the family's 1533-position model. The record is from RNAcentral. Lineage: Bacteria; Bacillati; Bacillota; Clostridia; Peptostreptococcales; Peptostreptococcaceae.